RNAcentral lists this ribosomal RNA (301 nucleotides) under uncultured bacterium. RNAcentral describes it as "partial 16S ribosomal RNA". It matches the Rfam family "Bacterial small subunit ribosomal RNA", at positions 509 to 807 of the family's 1533-position model. The record is from RNAcentral.
CAGCCGCCGCGGGAAUACGAAGGGUGCAAGCGUUAAUCGGAAUUACUGGGCGUAAAGCGUGCGUAGGCGGUGAGCUAAGUCUGCUGUGAAAUCCCCGGGCUCAACCUGGGAAUGGCAGUGGAUACUGGCUCGCUAGAGUGUGUCAGAGGAUGGUGGAAUUCCCGGUGUAGCGGUGAAAUGCGUAGAGAUCGGGAGGAACAUCAGUGGCGAAGGCGGCCAUCUGGGACAACACUGACGCUGAGGCACGAAAGCGUGGGGAGCAAACAGGAUUAGAUACCCCUGUAGUCCCUGUCUCUUAUAC